Molecule: long non-coding RNA, 2480 nt
Organism: Nicotiana attenuata
Lineage: Eukaryota; Viridiplantae; Streptophyta; Magnoliopsida; Solanales; Solanaceae
Exons: 9
Source: RefSeq, a predicted model, not a curated record
UUGGUAAGAUAGAAAGGCAGAACCUUUCGUCUCUCUCAUCAGCAUCUCUUCGUCUCUCUCUUGUCUUUAAACCUAGAAAGAUCCGCCAUCGACGAACUGUGCGACCUACUCCGGCGAAGGAAUUCUGACGAAGGACAGCCAUUUCGGCUAAUUUAAGGGAAUCUCAAAUGUAGAUUAUCGGUAUUUUUUCGUGUUUGAUAUUUUCUGUGGUUGUUCGCUUUCGCUAUUGUUUCGCCGCUUCUUCUGUUUUCUUUCUCUGUUGACUUGUGGUGAUUCUCUGAUCAUAGAACCACAUUUUGGCAAAGAACAACCUCAGACCAGAUCUUAUUCUCACUUUGUUUGGUCAGGAUCUGUUUGGGUAUCUUUCAGCUUCGGGGAAAUGACGGUAAAGAAUAAUAAUGCAACAACUCCUAGUCCAACAAUCUUGGUUACGGAUGAGUUUCUAAAAUUCCUUCAAUAUCAUAAAUCAGUUAAGGACUUCUUCAGUCACUGCCUUUGCUGGGUCAGAUAAAACAUGUCUUAUCACCUCUUCCAACAAAUGGGUGAUCGAUUCAGGUGCUAUAAAUCACAUGACAGGAAUUGGAGGCCAUUGUAUGCAGUAGUAUAACUCUAUAGUGCUGCGCCAAAUUGCUAAUAUUCUGGUGCUUCUUUUGUUCUUCUGGUGCUUAAGCAAGCAAAAUUGGUCUUUGAACAGACAAGACUUAAAGACAAGAAAUGAGACUUAAGACAAGAUGAUAGUCCUGAUUUGAUAGACAUGAGUCAAGAAAGACCUUCAAAGCCCAAAAGAAAGACAAGCGCGACAUACACAAAACCUGGAACAAUGGCAUCUUUGGCAAACCAAAUAAGGACUUCGUUUAGCCAAAAAUAUGUUGUUCCUGCUAGACAAUCAAACAAAGAGCGGCCGAAUAUUAUAGAAGAGAAUCUGCCACAAUAUCUAGGAGUAGUAGCCCAUGUACAAACUAGAUCAACCACUUCUACAAAAUUUAUUGUUCCUGCUAGACAAUCAAACAAAGAGCGUCCGAAUAUCAUCGAAGAGAAUCUGCUAGUGCCACAAUAUUUAGGAGUAGUAGCCCAUGUACAAACAAGAUCAACCACUCCUAUAACACAAGUAAUAGAGGAACAAGUAGAGGAACAGGUACAGGUGGAUUCUCUCCUAUCGAAGAUGAACAAUGUGAAGAACAAGGCCCUUCUAAUCAAACAAAAAAAGAGGUAAAACAAAGAUGAAAAGUGUACAUGGACGACAUGAGCGUAAAUUGAUUUUACUUGACAGCUUAAAUCAACCCGUCGGUCCUAGUGAAUACGGUGUGAUAGAGCUUGGAAGCUUCCUCAGCACAUUGGGAAGGAAUGUGACUCUAUGUCCUCUUGAUAUUUUGGAUUGGAGGAAGAUGGACACAAAAGAGGAUAUAUGAGAAUAUACCAAGGAUAAAUAUGAUAUUCCCGAAGCUGGAAAAAAAUAUAUUUUGGAAUCUAUUCAAGCUGCCUGGAGAAAGCACAAGAGUAGAUUGAAAAAAGAUCACUUUGACGCCUAUAAAAAUGAUGAAAAGCUCGAAUGCAACAUAUCCCUGAAGAUGUUCCAGUUUCUCAGUUUAAGGAACUCCUUAGGUAUUGGAACUCUGAGAAACUCCAGAAAAUAUCUAAAACUAACAUUGAGAAUCGGAAAAAGUUGAAGAAUCCUCACACUGCUGGAAAAAGAAGUUUUGCUUUAUUUCGCUCUAAGUUGGUGUGUAACUAGCAAAUCAUGGCAAAAUAAAUUCAGUUUUAGCUUUUGUUUUGUUCAUGGUAGAUCAGCAGGAAUGCUGACUCACUUUCAUGUAACUAAGAAAACGACAAGGAAACUUCGGAUCCUUUAUCAGCAAAGAAAGUCUUUGUAGCUACAAGAAAAAGAAAAGCUGGUCGAUCAUACAAGUCCUCGGAUGAAGAUACAACUAGUAAAAUCGCUGAAAUGGAGGAAAUUGAAGCACAACAAAACGAAAAUGGCAAUGAGUCCGUAGAGGCAUUUGCAUCUGUCAUGGGACCUGAACAUCUGGGAUGUCUGAGAAUUUAUGGACGGGGGGUUACAAGAACUUCUUUGAGAGGGAAAGUAGGAUGUUGUGCACGGUAAAAUCAGAGGGUCCAAUUUCCCGUCGUUAUGAUGCCCCGUAGGUAUACUUCAUAAGGCUCGAGACUGGGGUCGAGGUUCACCUUCGAGGGUUGUCGACGCUCGACCUCGGGGUAAUGCAGACCAACAGCUAUAUUGGAAAAGAGGGGAAUUUCCAACGGGUGCAUGCAAUAGAGCCGGUAGAGUCUGUCAGGCUAGUCUAAGCCCGCGUCAUGACGUCAACUAGCUGUCUCAUCUCCAUAUCUUUGUAAUUAAUGUAUUUUGUACUAUGUUGGGAUUCCCCUCCUAUAUAAAGGGGAUCCUUGCCAUUUUGUAAACAUCUGUUGCCCCAUACUAAAUACAUAACAACAUUCUCUCUGCUCUCUAACACAUUCUUUUGAUA